This 200-nucleotide long non-coding RNA is filed under the name Coffea arabica (coffee). RNAcentral describes it as "long non-coding RNA (CARA_LNC007127)". The record is from RNAcentral. Lineage: Eukaryota; Viridiplantae; Streptophyta; Magnoliopsida; Gentianales; Rubiaceae.
UUUGGUUUUUUUUUUUUUUUUUUUUUUUUUUUUUUUUUUGUAAAAACUAAAUCCAAAGACGGAUUUUACGUGAAAAAUUGAGUGAAAAGGUGUAUUUUGAUGAAUUUGCGUGAUCGGAGAGAUUGUUGGCAACCGCAGCCGGCCGCCAUGGCCGCUAGUUGCUGAAGUUUCAGUCUCGCCGGAGAAGAAGAAGAAGUAGA